AACGCAUAUUGCGCUCUUUGGUAUUCCGAAGAGCAUGCUUGUUUGAGUAUCAGUAAACACCUCAAAGUCUUUUUUUGUUAAGAGACUUUGGACUUGAGCAAUCCCAACACCUCUCUCUCCAAGAGAGGGGUGGCGGGUUGCUUGAAAUGCAGGUGCAGCUGGACUUUCUCCUGAGCUAAAAGCAUAUUCAUUUAGUCCCGUCAAACGGAUUAUUACUUUUGCUGCAGCUAACAUAAAGGGAGAUUGACCAUUUUGGCUGACUGAUGCAGGAUUUUCACAAGAGUCUUCAAACCACUCUUGUUAAACUCGAUCUCAAAUCAAGUAAGACUACCCGCUGAACUUAA
This 344-nucleotide unclassified non-coding RNA is filed under the name uncultured Mortierella. RNAcentral's name for it is "sequence contains ITS2". Lineage: Eukaryota; Fungi; Mortierellomycota; Mortierellomycetes; Mortierellales; Mortierellaceae. The record is from RNAcentral.